This 549-nucleotide ribosomal RNA is filed under the name uncultured bacterium. Its description in RNAcentral is "bacterial SSU rRNA". It matches the Rfam family "Bacterial small subunit ribosomal RNA", at positions 355 to 896 of the family's 1533-position model. The record is from RNAcentral.
UGGGGAAUAUUGGACAAUGGGCGAAAGCCUGAUCCAGCCAUGCCGCGUGUGUGAAGAAGGCCUUUUGGUUGUAAAGCACUUUAAGUGGGGAGGAAAAGCUUAUGGUUAAUACCCAUAAGCCCUGACGUUACCCACAGAAUAAGCACCGGCUAACUCUGUGCCAGCAGCCGCGGUAAUACAGAGGGUGCAAGCGUUAAUCGGAAUUACUGGGCGUAAAGCGCGCGUAGGUGGUUAUUUAAGUCAGAUGUGAAGGCCCCGGGCUUAACCUGGGAACUGCAUCUGAUACUGGAUAACUAGAGUAGGUGAGAGGGGAGUAGAAUUCCAGGUGUAGCGGUGAAAUGCGUAGAGAUCUGGAGGAAUACCGAUGGCGAAGGCAGCUCCCUGGCAUCAUACUGACACUGAGGUGCGAAAGCGUGGGUAGCAAACAGGAUUAGAUACCCUGGUAGUCCACGCCGUAAACGAUGUCUACCAGUCGUUGGGUCUUUUAAAGACUUAGUGACGCAGUUAACGCAAUAAGUAGACCGCCUGGGGAGUACGGCCGCAAGGUUA